Molecule: ribosomal RNA, 505 nt
Filed under: uncultured bacterium
Lineage: Bacteria
Description: partial 16S ribosomal RNA
Rfam family: Bacterial small subunit ribosomal RNA
Source: RNAcentral
GACGAACGCUGGCGGCGUGCCUAAUACAUGCAAGUAGAACGCACAGUUUAUACCGUAGCUUGCUACACCAUAGACUGUGAGUUGCGAACGGGUGAGUAACGCGUAGGUAACCUGCCUGGUAGCGGGGGAUAACUAUUGCAAACGAUAGCUAAUACCGCAUAAUAUUAAUUAUUGCAUGAUAAUUAAUUGAAAGGUGCAAUUGCACCACUACCAGAUGGACCUGCGUUGUAUUAGCUAGUAGGUGAGGUAACGGCUCACCUAGGCGACGAUACAUAGCCGACCUGAGAGGGUGAUCGGCCACACUGGGACUGAGACACGGCCCAGACUCCUACGGGAGGCAGCAGUAGGGAAUCUUCGGCAAUGGACGAAAGUCUGACCGAGCAACGCCGCGUGAGUGAAGAAGGUUUUCGGAUCGUAAAGCUCUGUUGUAAGAGAAGAACGGGUGUGAGAGUGGAAAGUUCACACUGUGACGGUAUCUUACCAGAAAGGGACGGCUAACUACGUG